RNAcentral lists this transfer-messenger RNA (361 nucleotides) under Akkermansiaceae. RNAcentral describes it as "Akkermansia intestinavium Standard tmRNA". It matches the Rfam family "transfer-messenger RNA". Rfam says of the family: Bacterial tmRNA, also known as 10Sa RNA or SsrA, is named for its dual tRNA and mRNA-like properties. Its role is to liberate the mRNA from a stalled ribosome. To accomplish this part of the tmRNA is used as a reading frame that ends in a translation stop signal. The record is from RNAcentral. Lineage: Bacteria; Pseudomonadati; Verrucomicrobiota; Verrucomicrobiia; Verrucomicrobiales. RNAcentral also lists the same sequence under 1 other name.
GGGGGCGUCCCGGUUUCGACUGAACAUUCGAGGCGCCGGCUGCAUGUGGAGGUUGAACGGCUGGCCUCCUUAAAAGCCGCUCAAACAAUCAAAUGCCUAUUCCAAGAACGAAUACGCAAUGGCCGCGUAACUAACGCCGCCGGAUCCGAACCCUGACGCCUGCUGGGGGUAAGGAUCUCUGAUUUAGCAGGCUGGUGCUCGGCGGGGAGACCGCGACGGGCACGACACCAACAGGUCUCUAGCCAGGCGGAAGGCUGACGCAGAGCGGACCGCCGGCGAAGCAGCCAAUCUGCGUCUGAACAUGGAGAUGCUUGCGUCAACAGUGUCCAGGACAGGGGUUCGAUUCCCCUCGCCUCCAGCA